RNAcentral lists this transfer RNA (72 nucleotides) under Mesocricetus auratus (golden hamster). It matches the Rfam family "tRNA". Rfam says of the family: Transfer RNA (tRNA) molecules are approximately 80 nucleotides in length. Lineage: Eukaryota; Metazoa; Chordata; Mammalia; Rodentia; Cricetidae. The record is from Rfam by way of RNAcentral.
AGGGAUGUAGCUCAUGGGGAGAGCACAUGCUUUGCAUGCAUGAGGUCUCGGGUUCGAUCCCCAGCACGCCUU